RNAcentral lists this ribosomal RNA (396 nucleotides) under uncultured bacterium. Its description in RNAcentral is "bacterial SSU rRNA". It matches the Rfam family "Bacterial small subunit ribosomal RNA", at positions 362 to 775 of the family's 1533-position model. The record is from RNAcentral.
UAUUGGACAAUGGGCGAAAGCCUGAUCCAGCAAUGCCGCGUGAGUGAUGAAGGCCUUAGGGUUGUAAAGCUCUUUUACCCGGGAUGAUAAUGACAGUACCGGGAGAAUAAGCUCCGGCUAACUCCGUGCCAGCAGCCGCGGUAAUACGGAGGGAGCUAGCGUUGUUCGGAAUUACUGGGCGUAAAGCGCACGUAGGCGGCUUUGUAAGUUAGAGGUGAAAGCCUGGAGCUCAACUCCAGAACUGCCUUUGAUACUGCAUGGCUUGAAUCCAAGAGAGGUGAGUGGAAUACCGAGUGUAGAGGUGAAAUUCGUAGAUAUUCGGAAGAACACCAGUGGCGAAGGCGGCUCACUGGCUUGGUAUUGACGCUGAGGUGCGAAAGCGUGGGGAGCAAACAG